GGUUAAGCGACUAAGCGUACACGGUGGAUGCCCUGGCAGUCAGAGGCGAUGAAGGACGUGCUAAUCUGCGAUAAGCGUCGGUAAGGUGAUAUGAACCGUUAUAACCGGCGAUUUCCGAAUGGGGAAACCCAGUGUGUUUCGACACACUAUCAUUAACUGAAUCCAUAGGUUAAUGAGGCGAACCGGGGGAACUGAAACAUCUAAGUACCCCGAGGAAAAGAAAUCAACCGAGAUUCCCCCAGUAGCGGCGAGCGAACGGGGAGCAGCCCAGAGCCUGAAUCAGUGUGUGUGUUAGUGGAAGCGUCUGGAAAGGCGCGCGAUACAGGGUGACAGCCCCGUACACAAAAAUGCACAUGCUGUGAGCUCGAUGAGUAGGGCGGGACACGUGGUAUCCUGUCUGAAUAUGGGGGGACCAUCCUCCAAGGCUAAAUACUCCUGACUGACCGAUAGUGAACCAGUACCGUGAGGGAAAGGCGAAAAGAACCCCGGCGAGGGGAGUGAAAAAGAACCUGAAACCGUGUACGUACAAGCAGUGGGAGCACGCUUAGGCGUGUGACUGCGUACCUUUUGUAUAAUGGGUCAGCGACUUAUAUUCUGUAGCAAGGUUAACCGAAUAGGGGAGCCGAAGGGAAACCGAGUCUUAACUGGGCGUUAAGUUGCAGGGUAUAGACCCGAAACCCGGUGAUCUAGCCAUGGGCAGGUUGAAGGUUGGGUAACACUAACUGGAGGACCGAACCGACUAAUGUUGAAAAAUUAGCGGAUGACUUGUGGCUGGGGGUGAAAGGCCAAUCAAACCGGGAGAUAGCUGGUUCUCCCCGAAAGCUAUUUAGGUAGCGCCUCGUGAAUUCAUCUCCGGGGGUAGAGCACUGUUUCGGCAAGGGGGUCAUCCCGACUUACCAACCCGAUGCAAACUGCGAAUACCGGAGAAUGUUAUCACGGGAGACACACGGCGGGUGCUAACGUCCGUCGUGAAGAGGGAAACAACCCAGACCGCCAGCUAAGGUCCCAAAGUCAUGGUUAAGUGGGAAACGAUGUGGGAAGGCCCAGACAGCCAGGAUGUUGGCUUAGAAGCAGCCAUCAUUUAAAGAAAGCGUAAUAGCUCACUGGUCGAGUCGGCCUGCGCGGAAGAUGUAACGGGGCUAAACCAUGCACCGAAGCUGCGGCAGCGACACUAUGUGUUGUUGGGUAGGGGAGCGUUCUGUAAGCCUGUGAAGGUGUACUGUGAGGUAUGCUGGAGGUAUCAGAAGUGCGAAUGCUGACAUAAGUAACGAUAAAGCGGGUGAAAAGCCCGCUCGCCGGAAGACCAAGGGUUCCUGUCCAACGUUAAUCGGGGCAGGGUGAGUCGACCCCUAAGGCGAGGCCGAAAGGCGUAGUCGAUGGGAAACAGGUUAAUAUUCCUGUACUUGGUGUUACUGCGAAGGGGGGACGGAGAAGGCUAUGUUGGCCGGGCGACGGUUGUCCCGGUUUAAGCGUGUAGGCUGGUUUUCCAGGCAAAUCCGGAAAAUCAAGGCUGAGGCGUGAUGACGAGGCACUACGGUGCUGAAGCAACAAAUGCCCUGCUUCCAGGAAAAGCCUCUAAGCAUCAGGUAACAUCAAAUCGUACCCCAAACCGACACAGGUGGUCAGGUAGAGAAUACCAAGGCGCUUGAGAGAACUCGGGUGAAGGAACUAGGCAAAAUGGUGCCGUAACUUCGGGAGAAGGCACGCUGAUAUGUAGGUGAAGUCCCUCGCGGAUGGAGCUGAAAUCAGUCGAAGAUACCAGCUGGCUGCAACUGUUUAUUAAAAACACAGCACUGUGCAAACACGAAAGUGGACGUAUACGGUGUGACGCCUGCCCGGUGCCGGAAGGUUAAUUGAUGGGGUUAGCCGCAAGGCGAAGCUCUUGAUCGAAGCCCCGGUAAACGGCGGCCGUAACUAUAACGGUCCUAAGGUAGCGAAAUUCCUUGUCGGGUAAGUUCCGACCUGCACGAAUGGCGUAAUGAUGGCCAGGCUGUCUCCACCCGAGACUCAGUGAAAUUGAACUCGCUGUGAAGAUGCAGUGUACCCGCGGCAAGACGGAAAGACCCCGUGAACCUUUACUAUAGCUUGACACUGAACAUUGAGCCUUGAUGUGUAGGAUAGGUGGGAGGCUUUGAAGUGUGGACGCCAGUCUGCAUGGAGCCGACCUUGAAAUACCACCCUUUAAUGUUUGAUGUUCUAACGUUGACCCGUAAUCCGGGUUGCGGACAGUGUCUGGUGGGUAGUUUGACUGGGGCGGUCUCCUCCUAAAGAGUAACGGAGGAGCACGAAGGUUGGCUAAUCCUGGUCGGACAUCAGGAGGUUAGUGCAAUGGCAUAAGCCAGCUUGACUGCGAGCGUGACGGCGCGAGCAGGUGCGAAAGCAGGUCAUAGUGAUCCGGUGGUUCUGAAUGGAAGGGCCAUCGCUCAACGGAUAAAAGGUACUCCGGGGAUAACAGGCUGAUACCGCCCAAGAGUUCAUAUCGACGGCGGUGUUUGGCACCUCGAUGUCGGCUCAUCACAUCCUGGGGCUGAAGUAGGUCCCAAGGGUAUGGCUGUUCGCCAUUUAAAGUGGUACGCGAGCUGGGUUUAGAACGUCGUGAGACAGUUCGGUCCCUAUCUGCCGUGGGCGCUGGAGAACUGAGGGGGGCUGCUCCUAGUACGAGAGGACCGGAGUGGACGCAUCACUGGUGUUCGGGUUGUCAUGCCAAUGGCACUGCCCGGUAGCUAAAUGCGGAAGAGAUAAGUGCUGAAAGCAUCUAAGCACGAAACUUGCC
This 2773-nucleotide ribosomal RNA is filed under the name Escherichia coli. RNAcentral's name for it is "partial 23S ribosomal RNA". It matches the Rfam family "Bacterial large subunit ribosomal RNA". Lineage: Bacteria; Pseudomonadati; Pseudomonadota; Gammaproteobacteria; Enterobacterales; Enterobacteriaceae. The record is from RNAcentral.